Spea bombifrons (plains spadefoot toad) is the source of this 327-nucleotide long non-coding RNA. RefSeq lists it as uncharacterized. NCBI's taxonomy places the organism in Eukaryota, Metazoa, Chordata, Amphibia, Anura, Pelobatidae. The transcript has 2 exons. The record is from RefSeq and is a predicted model, not a curated record.
GCAGGUAUAGAUCAACACAUUAACACACAAACCAAGCUUUACAUGUAUAGAUCAACUGAUAUUCACUUGUGAUCUCAGCACUGAAGGUAUAUAUCAAAUAAACAGAAUCAGACAUACAAAUCCUGUAUUCGCAGGUAUAGAUCAAAUAAAUACAUGGAAACAGCAUUGCAGGUAUUAAUCAGCUGAAUAAGACAUACAAACACUGUAGUUGCAGGUAUACAUAAAUAAUGUAUGGAAAUAUAAAGAUAUGGCUCUACAGAAUAACGCAAAAACCCAGCUUUGCAGGUAUAGAUCAACUGGAAUUCAUAUAAAAACACGUCAUUAAAA